GGGGAUAUAGCUCAAAUGAUAGAGUGCUUGCUUACCAAGUAUGAUGGCCUGAGUUCAAAUCUCAGUACACACA
This 73-nucleotide transfer RNA is filed under the name Dipodomys ordii (Ord's kangaroo rat). It matches the Rfam family "tRNA". From Rfam's summary of the family: Transfer RNA (tRNA) molecules are approximately 80 nucleotides in length. Their secondary structure includes four short double-helical elements and three loops (D, anti-codon, and T loops). The record is from Rfam by way of RNAcentral. Lineage: Eukaryota; Metazoa; Chordata; Mammalia; Rodentia; Heteromyidae.